This is a non-coding RNA of Manis javanica (Malayan pangolin), 3399 nucleotides long. The record is from RefSeq and is a predicted model, not a curated record. Lineage: Eukaryota; Metazoa; Chordata; Mammalia; Pholidota; Manidae.
UGGAGCUGAGGUCUGUCUGGCAAAUGUUUACCUCAGGUGUUUUUAUAGCAUCAGAAAUAGACUGAUGAGGCUUAAUUUAAAAUCUCAAGUGAUUUCUGGCCAUUCACAUAAUGUGAAUCUUAGCAGGGAAGUCAAUGAAAUAUAAACAAUUGACCAUCAUUUUUGCUUCAAUGAAAAUCUGAGUUCGGGCAGCAGCACUUGUCUGAGGAUUUUCUAGCUGUCUCUUUCUAUUGUGAAAUGGACCAUUUCAUCUUUGAAAUGUGACCCCAAAACAGGGGACCGCCUACCUCCCGCUUUCUCCUGAGUCAAGUUUUCCCAGUGUCACAGGCUUCAUGAUUUGAGUUGAAGGUAAUUUCUAGAUGUGACACUUGCAUGAAAAUAUAAAUUUAAAAUUAAUCAAUGUUAAGUGGUAGUCAGGAUUAGAGAGUUCCGGACUUGAAAAACACUUAGGAGUUAUUUAGCUCAACCUCAUCACUUUACGGAUAAAGGAACCCAGAAAGAUUAUAAGAUUUGCCCAAAACCAGAGCUGGGAACAGAACCUCAGCUCUGGCCAGAGGUCAGGCCAGACAUUUUCUCUCGCGGUUCAUACUGUUUCCUUGAAGACUUGAGAAUUUACCUUCAUUACCCACCCCUACUUAUCAGCAUUUAUGACAAGAACAAUAGACGCACGUUUAUCUACAAUAUCAUUAGGUUCACAUCUAAAGAACAACAAUGUCACAGUUGUUUAGCUGACAGUAUAGCACUCGUCCCCUACCCCACACCCAGGAAAAAAAAAAUCUCAGUGAGGGUAGAUUGCAUUCCAACCUGCAGCCUUAAGGCCCUCUGAAGAUUUUUUAAGGCAUUCUUAAGUAAAACAAAGAUGGGAUUAUCAUAACCCGCAGCAUGGGGGAGCUGGGGACGCACACCAAAACAUUUGUAUUGAAUUUGUUCGUGUUCAUGGAAUAUCAAAACCACCUAGUGCGGACUUAACCAUUCGCUCCUGAAAUUUGCAGCAUCAAUCCGGCACAGUAUGCGCUUCCUUGUGCAGAUUGGCAGGUUCUUAAUUGGUCUAACGCGCCCUCUAGUGUUCCUAUGUAAAAACUUCCUUUAAGACAAAGUGCCAUCCUUCCUAACGGUUUGGGUCCCUUUUUGUCCUGGACAGGCCUGAUUUGGGCCUAUUGUCCUGUCAUCCUGUUUGGUUUAAUAUUUGCCUGGAUGUCUUCACUUUCAGGAAAAUUGCUGUCAACGGUCACCUUGAAAGAAGCUGAGGUUGGCUGAGUGGCCCUUUGUAUUUCCUGGCUUCUUCUGUGCCUUCGUCCAGCACUGGGUGAGGCGCGUGAGCCGGGCUGUGAACUGAAUGCCUGCGUCCCCCCAGGAGUCGUGCAGAAUGUGAUGCAACGAAGGGUCACGUGAGGAUAGAACGUGAUGAUGGCCGCCUGCAAACCAGGUAGAGGGCUCUCACCGGACAGUGAAUCUGCCAGCACGUUCCCCCUGGACUUCCCAGCCUCCAGAAUGGAACUGUGGCAUGCCGCUUCCACAGGGUUUACCCCGAGGACUCCUACACCAGCAUCUGGGAGUAGCUGUCCAAGCCACAGCCGGUUUCCUGCUCUGCCUAGAUGCCCAAUAUUUGUUCUGUUUAUUUCUCUCUGCUUUCACUCGCCCCUUUCCUUACUGGGUGGAGAGAAUUCUAAAUUCCGCCCAGCAGUAAUGUAGCCUUGUACUUCCUUCUUACACGGCUCAGCGCAUGACAUUUCACCUCCACCAGGUGAUACGGACACUCAUAACUUACUCGUGGUCAUCAGGAAUGAGCUUAAUAGAAAAAACAAUGUUCUUGUUUUACAUAAUAAGGAAAGAUACCAGUAUAGGCUCCUGAUGUGAAAUCAGAACUAUGGGUCCCUUUUAAAAGUGAAUUUGUUUUAAUAAAAGACAGAUUAUAAAAGCAAGUCACCUGAACCCAAAAUAUUUAAUUUGGAUCCUAUGGUAUUAAACAUCUUGAUCUGUGCUGUUAAGGAGGCUGAAUCUGGUACCUCAUAAAUGAAAAGAGAUCCCCGGUUAGCUACUAAUCAGCUGUGAGGAUGGUCUCAACUUCAUGUACGAUGAAGUGAACUACAUGCUUUUCACACAGAUGAGAGAUCCCUCCGUGGGGUUUUCCAAUUAUCCAGUGUACAGAGAAGACAGUCUUGUUGCUUUCCUGUUGUCUCCAAGAGCCUGCUUUACCCAUCAAAAAAGAGCAAACUUUUAUACCUGCAUGAACCUCAAGAUGUGGGAAAUCAGGUUUCAGAGUCAUUGAACAUGACCAGGGUGGGAGAACGAUACCAAGUCAUAAACUGUACAUGUUGUUAAUCAGAUGUAUAUGAAGGUAAAAUAAGCUUAGUGGGUUUAAUAACAGUUCUUUUCCUGGCCGGCGCUAAGCCUGGUCCUGUGGGAGCGGUAGGGACUCCAAUGUGGCCCCCAGCAUCAGUCCCAGCGGCUCUGCCUGCUCUCUGCCUACUGCAGCUGCUGGCAACUAACUUGAAUUAUUAUCAUUAGAGAGCUUCUCACCAUUUCUGGACCCAAAACACAGUGCAGAGCAUUGUUCAUUCAUCUACAUUAUAGAAACACAGAGAUUUGGUUUGAAAAUAAAGGUCUACCUAAAGCCCCAAGUCAGUAAACCAGAAACUACAUUGCAAGUUGAUGGUGGUAAAAUAUGAGCUCAGAAGGAACCAGAGAAAUAGAACCAUUAAGGCUUAAAUUUUCCAAUUACCUAAGUUAACCAAGGCUAUCUUACAUUAGAAGCGUUUUUCUUCCUUCCAAGAAAACUCAUCUACACAAGGGGUUAGACUAGAGCAAUGAUUCUUAACCUGAAGAGGACAUCAGAUUGCCUAGGAAAUUCUUCCAAACACACAUACUCACCCACAUCUCAGACCUGAAUCACCAGGCAGCAUGUUUAGUUUGAAAAUGUUCCACAGAAGGAUUCUGAUACAUACCUUUAGUUUGUGAAUUCUAAUCACUGAAGGCCCUUCCAGGCGUAAACUCUACAUUAAUAAAUGCGUUAAAGAAAAAAGGGCUUUGCAGAGUUGAAUCAGUAAGGUUCUGCCAACAAUAAUAAUUACUUGGUCACAUGGCGACGUUGUAGUGAAAGAGCCACUGCACCAGGUCUGUCUCCACCUCAGGGUACAGUUGCUGAGAAGGGUUUAAUACUGGAUUUGCACUUCACACGAAGUCUUCUGGAGAGAAGGGGAGUCAGCAUCGAACCAAGUUCAGAUUUUUGCUUCUUCAUUCCUAGCUGGGUAAUUAAACUCGCACUAAUUACUGAACUUCAAACUUUCUGAGCCUCAUGGGAAUUUAUAUAUAUUCCCAUACAAAAAAUGGGAAUGAGAAUCUCUCUCCCUUCUGCACAGUGCCCCAGGUGAGCCUGGCUCAGCAUAGGCGGUGGGUAAA